Molecule: non-coding RNA, 391 nt
Organism: Vicugna pacos (alpaca)
Lineage: Eukaryota; Metazoa; Chordata; Mammalia; Artiodactyla; Camelidae
Source: RefSeq, a predicted model, not a curated record
CUCUUCCAAUCUGGGGGACCCUGGCAGAUGACGGCUCCCGUCUCUAAGGCUGCAGUGGCAGAAGAAGGGAGUAAGGUGAUACGCAAACUCACUCUUACAGCUUCUGCCUAGAAAUGACAUGCUCCUUCUACUCACAUUUUAGAAGCUAAAAGCUGCUCACAGAGCUAAAUCUAAGUUACGGAGGGCACUGGGGUGGGGGGGAAGGUGAAGAAUGUAAUCCUAUUGCUCUAGGCAGAAGAAGGGAAGUGGAACAUUUGUGAAAGGCCCUGGUGAUUACCGAGCCCCUAAGUCCGGGUUCUCCCCACUUCACCUUGUUGAAUACUCAAUAGGAUGAUGUUUAAAAAAAGAAAAAAAAAAAAGAUAAAUGGACCUGUCUCCAUUUCACUUAGGG